UCCUCUGUAACUCAGUUGGCAGAGUGGCACCCUGUUAAGGUGACUGUCGGUGGUUCGAGUCCACCCGGAGGAGCCA
RNAcentral lists this transfer RNA (76 nucleotides) under Colwelliaceae bacterium. RNAcentral describes it as "tRNA-Asn". It matches the Rfam family "tRNA". Rfam says of the family: Transfer RNA (tRNA) molecules are approximately 80 nucleotides in length. Lineage: Bacteria; Pseudomonadati; Pseudomonadota; Gammaproteobacteria; Alteromonadales; Colwelliaceae. The record is from RNAcentral.